This 468-nucleotide ribosomal RNA is filed under the name uncultured bacterium. RNAcentral describes it as "partial 16S ribosomal RNA". It matches the Rfam family "Bacterial small subunit ribosomal RNA", at positions 28 to 507 of the family's 1533-position model. The record is from RNAcentral.
GACGAACGCUGGCGGCGUGCUUAACACAUGCAAGUCGAACGGAAGGGCCCUGCUUUUGUGGGGUGCUCGAGUGGCGAACGGGUGAGUAACACGUGAGUAACCUGCCCUUGACUUUGGGAUAACUUCAGGAAACUGGGGCUAAUACCGGAUAGGAGCUCCUGCUGCAUGGUGGGGGUUGGAAAGUUUCGGCGGUUGGGGAUGGACUCGCGGCUUAUCAGCUUGUUGGUGGGGUAGUGGCUUACCAAGGCUUUGACGGGUAGCCGGCCUGAGAGGGUGACCGGCCACAUUGGGACGGAGAUACGGCCCAGACUCCUACGGGAGGCAGCAGUGGGGAAUAUUGCACAAUGGGCGGAAGCCUGAUGCAGCAACGCCGCGUGCGGGAUGACGGCCUUCGGGUUGUAAACCGCUUUCGCCUGUGACGAAGCGUGAGUGACGGUAAUGGGUAAAGAAGCACCGGCUAACUACGUG